This is an RNA transcript of Antechinus flavipes (yellow-footed antechinus), 2196 nucleotides long. It is a transcript of the gene named ring finger protein 212B, with no coding region annotated. The transcript has 7 exons. NCBI's taxonomy places the organism in Eukaryota, Metazoa, Chordata, Mammalia, Dasyuromorphia, Dasyuridae. The record is from RefSeq and is a predicted model, not a curated record.
CUAAAACCUCAGGAAAAGAUGUUCUUUAAGAGCCCUGUGGAGACAGCUCUGAAGUAUUUUAGUCACAUCUCUCAGGUUUGGAGUUUCCAGAAAAAACAGACAGAUCUGCUUAUCACCUUUUAUAAACACAGACUUUCUAAGUCAGAAGCCGCCAUGCAGGAGGCCCAACGAACAGUGGCCAGUCAGGACAAGAAUCUCCUAGCCGAUGCCAAGGAAACAGGUCAGUUCCACAAAGACAUAUACUUGCUUUCCUUUGAAAUUUAUAUUCUUUAUUGCUUCCUAAUGACUCAUGCACAUGUUAAGAAAAGCAAAUAAUGGGAAGAUGAUGAUUUCCUGUUUUAAUCCUCUGGGAGGGAAUGUUUGGAUACAAAUGUAGUGGUGAAAAGUAAGAAACCUGGGAUGAAACAUCUAAGAAAUCUGUGAUGUGUUUGCAUUUUCUUCCAUAUAAAUAGCAGGGAAAUUGUUAUAUCUUACCUAGGUAGUUGAAGAGAGAGGGGAUCUCACUUGGAGAAAAGAAAUUUGUCUUGCAUCUUUUGACACUUAGGCAAUUACAUGAGAAUAUCUCUUAACUACUGAACAGUUUGUAGCCAGGAAAGCCCCUGUUCUUUAUCUGCUCUAUUUUAUGUAGUCCUCUGGAUCAUUUAUUUUUAUUGUGUGGAGAAACAGCAAUUCCUUGCUCUCUAUCUCUCUCUCCUAUUUUUUUUUCCCUGCAGGUCUACCAUACCCCGGCCAGUAGGCAUCACUUCCCCGUCACAAUCAGGUAGAUAGCAGAUUGUUACUUCCCCAGACAGGUGAGGUAAAUAAACCUAUUUUCCAAGUCCAUUUUCAAGUUGAAUAGCAUUCUAAGUACAGUUAGAUUUCUCCAAGAGAAAGGCAGAUUCAUCUAAAAAGCCACACUUAGGAUUCAUACAUUUGAUAUGUAAGUGAAAAAGAAAAGGAUAUUGAGAGAUAUAUCUCACAUAGGCACACAGCUAGGACUAUUUCAUAUAAAGUCCACAAACCAGACAAGAAAGCAAAGGACAGGAGCAUACAUGAUUGCAACCUCUCCAUAGUUGCUUUUCUUUCAGUUACUUCACGACCCAGUUCCCAGCACAGUGACCAGGUGGUCAGUCGAUCUUCUUCCUUGGAAUCCAUUCCAUACAGAGUGUCUCACUUUGGUUGCUUUGGUCAACAGGGGAACAGAGGCCUGCAGGGAAGAAUUACUCCCAGGGAAUCUUAUACUGGUCAGAGUGAUGGUAGGUCAGCACCAGAAACUCCUGUGGCUUUCCAGCUACCAGUCCUGCAGCUGCAGGUCACCCCCCAGACACCUCAAUUACAUCAAAUUAGGUAGGUAACUUGCACAGUAUUUAUAUACUUCUCCUUACCAAGACUAAGAAUGCCAAAGAUAUAUCACUAGAGAAGGGAAGCUUUCCAGUGUACCUGGAAAAUUUGCAGAAAAUCCUACAUGCUAGAGGGGCAGGGACAGUCAAGACUUUGCCCCACUCCCUGUGACCUAUUGAAUAAAUUGCAAUUUUGGUAGAGUAUAAAAGAAUAGUAACACACUUCCCCUGAAAAUUAUGCCUAGUGACUUGCAUUAGGCGAGUUUUGUUGUUUGUUGCUGUACACAACAUCUCUGUAUUUCUCUCCUUUAUUGCAGGUUGCCCAACAACGGAGGUAGAUGUGAUUAGUCAGGAAAAGUGAAGCAUGGAUCUUUUCUCUGCUCCUGGACUGACUUUUCUCCUAUCCCUCCAUCUAUCCUGAAUAAGUUGCCAGUGGGAUACAUUAUAGUUGUAGCUAAUCUUCAGGAUAUUCCCAGGAUGUUAUAAAAAGAUCCCUUAAUCCUUGUUGCCUUCAAAGUGCAUUGUAAAUUACUCAAAGAUUCCUUUACUUUUUGGAUAUUUGGGAAAAGAAGCACAACUGACAGACAUAUUGGUGCUGCGGAAAGAUGGCUAUUUUUCCUUUCACAGGUCAUAUGUAAAUGUAAUUAUCUCAUGCAAUUUACAUGCAGGAUAUAGAAACAGGCCCCAAAUCAAGCAAGGUGAACCAAGUAUAUCUUAUUCUUGUUUCAUUUAUUUCAGGGUAUCAUUUCUCAUGGCCAGGAGCAAGCCCUCAGCAAUAGAUUCAAUUCUUCCUUUCUCUAUCUUGUCCUGUCCUUACAAUGUUUUAUCCACAUACCUGUAACCUUCUUUAUGCCUACUAUUAAAUGAUUUUCACUUC